This 775-nucleotide long non-coding RNA is filed under the name Equus asinus (donkey). RNAcentral's name for it is "lncRNA (ENSEASG00005028397.1)". Lineage: Eukaryota; Metazoa; Chordata; Mammalia; Perissodactyla; Equidae. The record is from RNAcentral.
CGGUCUUGGAGCCCGCCCCCACACCACAGCGGAGAUUAGCGCCCCUCCCCUCCCAGGGGAGGACAGACUGACAGGAAACCAGAGACGAGGCUGGGUAUUGGCGGGAGGGGGGCUGAAGAGACCAUCUCACACACCCUGGGCAGGUGGCUUCCGGGACCCCGGGCCUGCCCUUCCCCCAAGGCACCAGCUCCAGGGGAUGAUUCAAGUGUCUGAGACUGACUCAGGGCACAGAGUGACUCCGGGAGGCAAGGACUCCCUCUCAAGACCUUCAGUGAGUGCCCAAAACACGAAGUCCUGAAUUCCAGGACAAGAAAAGGACUUUUUCUCUGAGCCCCACCCCCACGGACCCCAGCCCAGCAAACUCCCUUCCUUUCCGGACAGCAGUGGCUUUCUGACCAAGCCAUGGUUCCUCUAUAUGUGCCGCCCAGAGGGGCCAUGAAGCCCAGCGAUGACUCCCAGCUCUGCUGGGUCUCAAACCAGAAGAAACAGAACAAGGCCAGAGACACAAUCAAGGAUGAGGAAGGGGCCAGGCCUGGGGUGAGGAUGCAGAGACAAUAAGAACCACCCAGGAUUCCUCACAUCCCAGCGACUCCUGGAAAAGUGGAAGGUGAAGGGUGGAAAGAACAGAGCGCUCUGUGAGGACGGCCCUGUGAGCUCUUCUGGGCUGUUUCUUCAUUCACCUCCACGGAGCUGGGGGGAAGGGCAGCAGCUGAGGCAUCUAGAGAACUUUAUAUAACACAUUCAAUCUGAGUCUCAUUUGAUCAUCAUGCUGACC